This 138-nucleotide small nucleolar RNA is filed under the name Ornithorhynchus anatinus (platypus). Lineage: Eukaryota; Metazoa; Chordata; Mammalia; Monotremata; Ornithorhynchidae. The record is from RNAcentral.
CCCCUCUCAGGAUGGAAUCUGGAGAGUUUCCAGUACUCUACCGGUCUGGGCUACGGGAGGGAGAGUGGAGCAGAGGCCUGUCUGUUCCAUUCCUAGCUUGGUCAGUGGCUAGCGAGUGGAAGUCCAUCUGCUGCAAGG